UAUUUACCAUGUGUCGGGCACUGUAUCUUCUCUCUCUCUCUCUCUCUCUUACUCUCUCUCUCUAUCUCAGGUGGCUAUCCUGGGAACUGAGGAGUUUCCUGGGAUUCAGGACUUUUUGUGCUAAAUCUGGGACAGUGCCGGGCAAAACAGAACAGUUGAUGACCCUAAUGUGAAUUCAUUUAAUCUCACAAUAACUCUUGGACACAGGCAC
RNAcentral lists this long non-coding RNA (211 nucleotides) under Homo sapiens (human). RNAcentral's name for it is "non-protein coding lnc-MAFB-3:1". The record is from RNAcentral. Lineage: Eukaryota; Metazoa; Chordata; Mammalia; Primates; Hominidae.